CUAGGGCGCGUGCGCGUAGCGAAUCUAAGGAAACCCGAGGCUGAUCACCUUCGGCUAGGCUUGCGCGUCGCGUUGAUCUUGGUUGGGAAUGGAAGAGCCUUCAAAGGAGGUUCUCGGUGCUCUCUGAACUUGGUGGUUGCACGCUAUACACCCUCUCUUCCUUCUUUUGCUGAGGCGUCAUGCAAGUAGAAAAAAUAAUAUUGUUACAUGCAAAGUCUGCAAUAGGAAGAAAUCUCGCCAUUUGUCUUAUUGCUCUAGACGGGGGUCUCCAACCUUGACAACUUUAAGCCUGGAGGACGGCUGGGGCAUUCUGGGAGUUGAAGUCCUCCAGGCUUAAAGUUGCCAAGGUUGGAGACCCCUGAUCUACAGCGAUUUUCAUCUAAUUGGAUCCCUUUUCUAAUCUUGUAACGAUCCCGCCUCCUCUGUUUAGCCAAUGAGAGUCGUGAUUUUUUUUUACCAGCUGCUAAUCGAUGUUAAAUUUCUAGAUUAUUUUUUUCCUUUUUCAAGAGAUCGCGCAAUUUUGCAGCAUCGAGCAUGGCUGUGACUUGAUUUUUUUUUUAUUCUCCUCCACCCUUAACUUUCAUUCAAGUAGGAAAAACGACGAAAAUUUAUAAUCGGCUCACAAGAAAUUGGACUAGUCUCAAUAACAACAGCCGGCCAAUCAAACUCUCUGAAAUCAAUCCAUGACUCAGAAGUAUCCGUUCAUACAGAUCCGCCGGGAACUGAAAACUUAUUUAUUUAUACAAGCGGGACUGGCCUGAUUUUUAAAUUUUAAAUUUAAAUUUUAAACUUUUAAUGGUAAUUUUAUUGGGUAUUUUUAUGGUCAAUCGACGGUUUUAAUUUGGCCUUUUAUUGAAUAAGUUUUUUAAUUGUUAUUUUAAUAUGUAUAUUAAUUGUUUUAAAUGGAGGCUGUACACCGCCCUGAGUCCUUCGGGAGAAGGGCGGUAUAAAGUUUGAUAAAUAAAUAAAAAUAAAUAAAUAAAUAAAUACUAAAUUCCAUCACAUAAAAAGGUAUUUAAAGGCAAGUGUUCUGACAGACGAGCACAAUUCAAAGCGCACGGACGAUGUCUGCUUGAAUGGUGACGAAAUGUUUGCAACCAAAUAGAAUAGAAGAAUAGAACUUUUUAUUGGCCAAGUGUGAUUGGACACACAAGGAAUUUGUCUUGGUGCAUAUGCUCUCAGUGUACAUAAAAUGGCUCGGAACUCGAACCAACAGCCCACCAAUGCAUAGAUUUGAACCUCGGCCGUUGGGACUAGCAGACUUAACCGGGACUUGGUCAAGCAGCAGGACCAGUUCUAAUUAGAUGAGAGGCUUCCGGGAAUUUCAGGACUAUAAUCUUGGCUGAGAAAAUGAAAAGAAAAAUCCAGAAAGAAGGCAAACGUAAACCAGUCUCAUCUUGUUGCUGAAUUACCAGGAGUCACAUUUUAAAGCUUGUAGGCUCUAGCAUCUCCACAUCUGGAUCAUCAAAACCAUUCCAGAAAGCUACAGAAAAGCCAAAGGCAGAAGCAACACUGGAGAGAAGCAGCGGAGAACGACUCCUUUGGUAUCAUUUUUCCCAAGAGGACCCAAUACUGGCAUUGAAGGAAUUGUCUUCCAUCCUGCCUCUCUCCUCCCCAUGAUUCAGGGGUGGGGAUUCAGCCGGCUUGGGCAAACCGGUUGUUAUGAUUUUCGGCAGUUCAGAGAACCGGUAAAAUUGACCACCGCCUACCCCACCCUGCCCUAUAUAUUAUCUUCCCUUUGCCACGUGGUCCAGCAUUCAACAUGGCUGGUGCUUCUCUGUGCUGCACGCUUUCUAGGUGGGACUUAGAGGAAAGCGGCAGCUUACAGCUGCUAAACUGAACAAGAGACACUCUCUCCCAGCAAGAGCAGCAGCGGAGAGAAACAGCCGCUACCCCGGAGAGCAGAGGCGGAGCGGAGCAGGCCCUGAAAGGCUGCUCAGUUGACCCUCGCCGCAUAUGCACACCCUCACAUUUUCGGCGAACUGGUGGUUAAGUGGAUUGAAUCCCACCGCUGCCAUGAUUCCUGCGCAAAUAAAACUUCUACUUUGUUGCCAGGGCAGAUUAAAUGUUGGAAGUGUGAUUUCCGAAUUGAAUAAUGGUAUUGAGCACUGCCAUGUGAAAGAAUCCUGAACCGGUGGUUUCCUGUGGCUGCAUUUUUUUGUAAAUGUAAUUUUAAACUAUAGUUUCAAAAUAAAAGAAAUUAAUAAUUUCA
This is a long non-coding RNA of Ahaetulla prasina, 2212 nucleotides long. RefSeq lists it as uncharacterized. NCBI's taxonomy places the organism in Eukaryota, Metazoa, Chordata, Lepidosauria, Squamata, Colubridae. The record is from RefSeq and is a predicted model, not a curated record. The transcript has 2 exons.